GGGGAAUCAGAGAGCUUGCUCUCGGGUGACGAGUGGCGGACGGGUGAGUAAUGUCUGGGAAACUGCCUGAUGGAGGGGGAUAACUACUGGAAACGGUAGCUAAUACCGCAUAACGUCGCAAGACCAAAGAGGGGGACCUUCGGGCCUCUUGCCAUCAGAUGUGCCCAGAUGGGAUUAGCUAGUAGGUGGGGUAACGGCUCACCUAGGCGACGAUCCCUAGCUGGUCUGAGAGGAUGACCAGCCACACUGGAACUGAGACACGGUCCAGACUCCUACGGGAGGCAGCAGUGGGGAAUAUUGCACAAUGGGCGCAAGCCUGAUGCAGCCAUGCCGCGUGUAUGAAGAAGGCCUUCGGGUUGUAAAGUACUUUCAGCGGGGAGGAAGGUGUUGUGGUUAAUAACCGCAGCAAUUGACGUUACCCGCAGAAGAAGCACCGGCUAACUCCGUGCCAGCAGCCGCGGUAAUACGGAGGGUGCAAGCGUUAAUCGGAAUUACUGGGCGUAAAGCGCACGCAGGCGGUCUGUCAAGUCGGAUGUGAAAUCCCCGGGCUCAACCUGGGAACUGCAUUCGAAACUGGCAGGCUAGAGUCUUGUAGAGGGGGGUAGAAUUCCAGGUGUAGCGGUGAAAUGCGUAGAGAUCUGGAGGAAUACCGGUGGCGAAGGCGGCCCCCUGGACAAAGACUGACGCUCAGGUGCGAAAGCGUGGGGAGCAAACAGGAUUAGAUACCCUGGUAGUCCACGCCGUAAACGAUGUCGACUUGGAGGUUGUGCCCUUGAGGCGUGGCUUCCGGAGCUAACGCGUUAAGUCGACCGCCUGGGGAGUACGGCCGCAAGGUUAAAACUCAAAUGAAUUGACGGGGGCCCGCACAAGCGGUGGAGCAUGUGGUUUAAUUCGAUGCAACGCGAAGAACCUUACCUACUCUUGACAUCCAGAGAACUUACCAGAGAUGCAUUGGUGCCUUCGGGAACUCUGAGACAGGUGCUGCAUGGCUGUCGUCAGCUCGUGUUGUGAAAUGUUGGGUUAAGUCCCGCAACGAGCGCAACCCUUAUCCUUUGUUGCCAGCGGUUAGGCCGGGGAACUCAAAGGAAGAUUGCCAGUGGAUAAACUGGAAGGAAGGUGGGGGAUGACGUCAAAGUCAUCAUGGGCCCUUACGAGUAGGGCUACCACCGUUGCUACAAUGGGCGCAUACAAAAGAGAAACCACCUUCCGGAGAACAAACCGGACCUCCAAAAAUUGCGUCCUAAUCCCGGAAUGGGAGCUUGCACCUCGACUCCCUAGAAGUCCGAAUCCCUUAGAAAUCUUAGAAUAAAAAUGUUC
This 1317-nucleotide ribosomal RNA is filed under the name Enterobacter cloacae. RNAcentral's name for it is "bacterial SSU rRNA". It matches the Rfam family "Bacterial small subunit ribosomal RNA", at positions 68 to 1373 of the family's 1533-position model. Lineage: Bacteria; Pseudomonadati; Pseudomonadota; Gammaproteobacteria; Enterobacterales; Enterobacteriaceae. The record is from RNAcentral.